This 390-nucleotide unclassified non-coding RNA is filed under the name soil metagenome. RNAcentral's name for it is "partial contains 5.8S ribosomal RNA, internal transcribed spacer 2, and large subunit ribosomal RNA". The stretch from base 1 to 122 matches the Rfam family "5.8S ribosomal RNA", at positions 35 to 154 of the family's 154-position model. The record is from RNAcentral.
GAUGAAGAACGCAGCGAAAUGCGAUACUUGGUGUGAAUUGCAGAAUCCCGUGAACCAUCGAGUCUUUGAACGCAAGUUGCGCCCGAAGCCAUUAGGCCGAGGGCACGCCUGCCUGGGCGUCACACGUCGUUGCCCCCCCAUCUACUCCUUCGGGAUUGCGGGGGGCGGAUGAUGGCCUCCCGUGCGCCUCGUCGCGCGGUUGGCAUAAAUGCCAAGUCCUCGGCGACGCACGCCACGACAAUCGGUGGUUGCGAAACCUCGGUUGCCCGUCGUGUGCGGUCGUCGCGCAUCGAGGGCUCGAAAAAAUUGCCGGGCUCCGGCUCGACUUUCAACGCGACCCCAGGUCAGGCGGGGUUACCCGCUGAAUUUAAGCAUAUCAAAAGCGGAGGA